Juglans regia (Persian walnut) is the source of this 1479-nucleotide RNA transcript. RefSeq lists it as uncharacterized. The transcript is spliced from 4 exons. Lineage: Eukaryota; Viridiplantae; Streptophyta; Magnoliopsida; Fagales; Juglandaceae. The record is from RefSeq and is a predicted model, not a curated record.
AACUUGCGCUUCCCGGCGAUUUUCUGCGCAGAGAGAGACAAAGAAGGGGGGGAUACGAGAGACAAUUACGAAGAACAAAAAUUUUCCGAGAAAAUACCGACUGAUCAAAGUUUCUAAGAAAUCUUGGAAAGCAAACGAGGGUGAAGGAAAGAGAGAGAAAGAGAGAGAGAGAGAGCUCUGAUCCGAGUGCUCUCUGUUGGAGUCUAUUUGGUUUUUGGUUCCGAUAGAUGGUCUGUGCGGGUCUUCAAGGAGAGCGAGAGACAGUGCGACGACCCGAGAAGACGAUUAUGGCGAUGGAACCGGAGAGAUCAAAGGCUCUGCACAAUUUCACGCUGCCUUUGAAGUGGGGGAACCAGAGGUACCUGCGGUGCAUGAAAGUGAGUCCGGACGGUGUCGUCGGAGUUGAUCGGAGAUCUCUGGCUCCGAUACUUGAGAGCUCUCCGGUCACUCGUCGUCGGGAAUUGGAGAGGAAGAGGAAGAGGGAUUGGAAGUCAGGAAUCGAGAGCGGAGGAGGAGGAGGGGAGGGCGUAGAGGCGGUGAGGAAGGAGGUCUUGUUUGAUCUGAAAACGGCGGUUGAUAAGAUGAAAGUCGAGAUUUUUAGGAAGGAGGUGGAAGAAGAGGAAGAGGAAAUUGAAGAGGACGAGGAGAUAGAGGAGGCUAACCAAUCGCCUCCGGUGGACGAAUCGGCUCGGCCGUGGAAUCUGAGAACGAGGAGAGCCGCGUGUAAGGCUCCGAUUGGUGGAGGAAUGGGAUUGAGGAUUGAGGAUAAGAAAGUGAAUUCCUCGCCGUUGAGGAGCGAGAACAAUGGCGUGAGGUCGCCAAGGUUGAGAGGUGGAGGCGGAGGAGGAGCUUCGGAGAAGAAGGAGAAGAAGAGAACCAAGUUAACGGUGCCGCUGACGAGGAAGGAGAUCGAGGAGGAUUUCAUUGAGUUUCUGGGCCAUAGGCCGCCGAGGAGGCCCAAGAAACGGCUCAGGAACGUUCAGAAGCAAUUGGAUUCGCUCUUUCCGGGGUUGUGGCUGUUGGAUAUUACAGUUGAUUCCUACAAGGUUCCUGAAUCCGGUGAGAACGGCAAGAGGUAGUAAUGGGAGUGCGGCCUGGGUGAGAAGUUUCAACUUUCAAGGACUCUGUUUCCUGACUACUGACUAGUGGGCUGGGUUGAAGUGAAAUCACAUUUGCUUUGACAUCUGGGAAAUGAAGUGCGUUGUGGAAUUUGGAUGUCAUUGUCGAUAUCCUGCUAAAACAAAGCGUUAGAAAAUGGUAAUAAUCUCGUUUUGAGCUUCCAAACUUGGGACUUCAAAGCUGUGGGAGAAGGUCUCGAUGACCAACGUCCUGCUUGGUUACCGUAUGCGCGUAAUUUCAACCACGACCCCCAGGUGCUCCCUGGCUGCUAAUAAUUGUCUCAGCGAGUUGACUAGUAUAUUCUUUUGAGCCCCCCCAUGUUGACUAUGAAAUUCCCCCGUCCAUCUAUUGCAUGGAGUC